This 403-nucleotide ribosomal RNA is filed under the name uncultured bacterium. Its description in RNAcentral is "partial 16S ribosomal RNA". It matches the Rfam family "Bacterial small subunit ribosomal RNA", at positions 30 to 526 of the family's 1533-position model. The record is from RNAcentral.
AUUGAACGCUGGCGGCAGGCCUAACACAUGCAAGUCGAGCGAGCGGCGGACGGGUGAGUACUGUAUGGGGACUGCCCGAUAGAGGGGCAUAACUACUGGAAACGGUAUCUAAUACCGCAUACUAUCGGAUAACCCAUAUGGGAUUAGCUAGUAGGUGAGGUAAUGGCUCACAUAGGCGACGAUCCCUAGCUGGUCUGAGAGGAUGAUCAGCCACACUGGGACUGAGACACGGCCCAGACUACUACGGAGGCAGCAGUGGGGAAUAUUAGAAAAUGGGCGCAAGCCUGAUGCAGCCAUGCCGCGUGAAUGAAGAAGGCCCUAGGGUUGUAAAGUACUUUCAGUCGGGAGGCGUUACCGAAAGAAGAAGCACCGGCUAACUACGUGCCAGCAGCCGCGGUAAUUC